CGACCGGCGCACGGGUGAGUAACGUGUAUGCAACCUGCCUGAUAUCGGGGUAUAGCCCAUGGAAACGUGGAUUAACACCCCAUAGUACUUUUAUCCUGCAUGGGAUGUGAGUUAAAUGUUCAAGGUAUCGGAUGGGCAUGCGUCCUAUUAGUUAGUUGGCGGGGUAACAGCCCACCAAGACGAUGAUAGGUAGGGGUUCUGAGAGGAAGGUCCCCCACAUUGGAACUGAGACACGGUCCAA
RNAcentral lists this ribosomal RNA (241 nucleotides) under uncultured bacterium. RNAcentral describes it as "partial 16S ribosomal RNA". It matches the Rfam family "Bacterial small subunit ribosomal RNA", at positions 92 to 334 of the family's 1533-position model. The record is from RNAcentral.